AACGAACGCUGGCGGCAUGCCUAACACAUGCAAGUCGAACGAGAACUUCGGGUCUAGUGGCGCACGGGUGCGUAACGCGUGGGAACCUGCCCUUAGGUUCGGAAUAACUCCCCGAAAGGGGUGCUAAUACCGGAUAAUGUCUUCGGACCAAAGAUUUAUCGCCUGUGGAUGGGCCCGCGUUGGAUUAGCUAUUUGGUAGGGUAAAAGCCUACCAAGGCGACGAUCCAUAGCUGGUCUGAGAGGAUGAUCAGCCACACUGGGACUGAGACACGGCCCAGACUCCUACGGGAGGCAGCAGUGGGGAAUAUUGGAAAAUGGGCGAAAGCCUGAUCCAGCAAUGCCGCGUGAGUGAUGAAGGCCUUAGGGUUGUAAAGCUCUUUUACCCGGGAUGAUAAUGACAGUACCGGGAGAAUAAGCUCCGGCUAACUACGUG
This 433-nucleotide ribosomal RNA is filed under the name uncultured bacterium. RNAcentral's name for it is "partial 16S ribosomal RNA". It matches the Rfam family "Bacterial small subunit ribosomal RNA", at positions 29 to 507 of the family's 1533-position model. The record is from RNAcentral.